UACGUAGGGGGCAAGCGUUGUCCGGAAUCAUUGGGCGUAAAGAGCGCGUAGGCGGCCCGGUAAGUCCGCUGUGAAAGUCCAGGGCUCAACCCUGGGAUGCCGGUGGAUACUGUCGGGCUCGAGUCCGGAAGAGGAGUGUGGAAUUCCUGGUGUAGCGGUGAAAUGCGCAGAUAUCAAGAGGAACACCUGAGGCGAAGGCGGGUUGCUAGGCUGACACUGACGCUGACAGCGCGAAAGCCAGGGGAGCAAACGGG
RNAcentral lists this ribosomal RNA (254 nucleotides) under uncultured bacterium. RNAcentral's name for it is "partial 16S ribosomal RNA". It matches the Rfam family "Bacterial small subunit ribosomal RNA", at positions 524 to 776 of the family's 1533-position model. The record is from RNAcentral.